This 504-nucleotide ribosomal RNA is filed under the name uncultured bacterium. Its description in RNAcentral is "partial 16S ribosomal RNA". It matches the Rfam family "Bacterial small subunit ribosomal RNA", at positions 29 to 523 of the family's 1533-position model. The record is from RNAcentral.
AUUGAACGCUGGCGGCAGGCCUAACACAUGCAAGUCGGACGGUAGCACAGAGAGCUUGCUCUCGGGUGACGAGUGGCGGACGGGUGAGUAAUGUCUGGGGAUCUGCCCGAUAGAGGGGGAUAACCACUGGAAACGGUGGCUAAUACCGCAUAACGUCGCAAGACCAAAGAGGGGGACCUUCGGGCCUCUCACUAUCGGAUGAACCCAGAUGGGAUUAGCUAGUAGGCGGGGUAACGGCCCACCUAGGCGACGAUCCCUAGCUGGUCUGAGAGGAUGACCAGCCACACUGGAACUGAGACACGGUCCAGACUCCUACGGGAGGCAGCAGUGGGGAAUAUUGGACAAUGGGCGCAAGCCUGAUGCAGUCAUGCCGCGUGUAUGAAGAAGGCCCUCGGGUUGUAAAGUACUUUCAGCGGGGAUGAAGGCGAUGUGGUUAAUAACCGCGUCGAUUGACGUUACCCGCAGAAGAAGCACCGGCUAACUCCGUGCCAGCCGCCGCAGUAA